AACGAACGCUGACGGCAGGCUUAACACAUGCAAGUCGAACGCAUCCUUCGGGGUGAGUGGCAGACGGGUGAGUAACGCGUGGGAACGUGCCCUUCAGUUCGGGAUAACCCAGGGAAACUUGGGCUAAUACCGGAUACGUGCGAGAGCAGAAAGAUUUAUCGCUGAAGGAUCGGCCCGCGUCUGAUUAGCUAGUUGGUGGGGUAAUGGCCCACCAAGGCGACGAUCAGUAGCUGGUCUGAGAGGAUGAUCAGCCACAUUGGGACUGAGACACGGCCCAAACUCCUACGGGAGGCAGCAGUGGGGAAUAUUGGACAAUGGGCGCAAGCCUGAUCCAGCCAUGCCGCGUGAGUGAUGAAGGCCUUAGGGUUGUAAAGCUCUUUCGUCCGGGACGAUAAUGACGGUACCGGAAGAAGAAGCCCCGGCUAACUUCGUGCCAGCCACCGCGGUAA
Molecule: ribosomal RNA, 449 nt
Filed under: uncultured bacterium
Lineage: Bacteria
Description: partial 16S ribosomal RNA
Rfam family: Bacterial small subunit ribosomal RNA
Source: RNAcentral